This 76-nucleotide transfer RNA is filed under the name Psathyromyia aragaoi. RNAcentral's name for it is "tRNA-Lys". Lineage: Eukaryota; Metazoa; Arthropoda; Insecta; Diptera; Psychodidae. The record is from RNAcentral.
CAAAUCAUUAGAUAACUUAAAGUAAGUAAUGGUCUCUUAAACCACAAUAUAGUAAUUUAACGAAUACUUCUAAUGA